AUGAGUUGUCUUGGACCCGUGUCUGCCGGUAGGACCCCCGCCGUUGUGCGGCUGACUGUCGGCGCCUGUGUCCAAUCAUUACUGCGGUUUUUACUCGACCGUUCUAUUGACAAGUGCUUGCAUGAUGUACCCGACCAACGGGAAGUUGUGCGUCAUACAUGAUAACCACGCGGUGGGCGCCCCUAGGGCGUGCUGCUGCGGCCAAAUAGUGUUUGCGGCGUUGCCUCUCGGUGCCAGCAUCCUACGUGCUCGGUGUCGCCAAGGCCACCUCGCUUUCACUGUUGGUCUCGGAUGUCGCUCAUGAUAAAGGCUCGUGGCCCUUUGGCGCUGCGUCCCUACCGAAAGCUCUCUGAAUACACGACUUUCGACUCGGUUUUCGCCGUUGCUGUGCCACAUGGCCGGCACGUGCUACUCUGAUGUCGGAUUGUCGAGGAGGACGUGCU
RNAcentral lists this unclassified non-coding RNA (443 nucleotides) under Phaenosperma globosum. RNAcentral's name for it is "partial external transcribed spacer". The record is from RNAcentral. Lineage: Eukaryota; Viridiplantae; Streptophyta; Magnoliopsida; Poales; Poaceae.